Molecule: long non-coding RNA, 243 nt
Filed under: Elaeis guineensis (African oil palm)
Lineage: Eukaryota; Viridiplantae; Streptophyta; Magnoliopsida; Arecales; Arecaceae
Description: long non-coding RNA (EGUI_LNC062653)
Source: RNAcentral
AUAAAUCAAUUACAAUACAAGGUUUCUCAACCGUCAACAGGUUUGAUGAUUGACUUUUUGGACAUAUUUUCCAACAACUUCCACUUGCCCUAAAGCCAUUCAGCACAGUAUCUAAUAUCCAUCUUCGACUUGUGAUUGUCAAACUCCUUCAUCGCUAGGGCUUUAGUGAAGGGGUCAGUCAGGUUCUACUUUCUGUUGAUCUUCUGAAGGUCGACAUCACCUCGAUCCACGAUCUCCCAGACC